GCUGGGCCAGAGGUGGGGCUGGGGUGUGGGGUGAGUAAGCCACCAGGAAGACGAGUCCAUGUGGAACCACUUUUCCAUGGUCUAAUCUGGGAAACGGAACGCUGUGAGCUUGGACUAAAGUUAUGGCUUUGGUUAGAGGAUUGAUUCAGUGGGGCCAGCAUGGCCUCUGGCGGGGCCAUAGCCACAUGUGUCCUCCCCCCUGGCCUGACCCCCCUCUGGCAGUCACAUCUCCAGGUCUGGCAGAACCCCCAGAACAGAUCUUUCUUCUGGCCCCCAGCAAGGCUGUUCACUGCCUUCCAAACAUGUGCAGCUGGCUUGGCCAUCUGGGCCUGAGGCCCUCUGGGAGGUGGCCUCGAACGAUGAUCUUCCUCUACCCUAUGUGAUUGUGUGGCUUCCAGCUGAGCCUGCUUACCUGAUCCUCCUGCAGGACCCUACUCCCUGGGCUCUUUCCAACCCUGAGAGGGAGGAGCAAAGAGGGCUGGAGAAUGGAUAGUACAACCAUUUCCCAUGUUGCUGCAUGCCUGGUGCCUUAUGCAGGUCCUCCUUCUAGUAGAAAAGGAAAACUAAAUAUAAAGACUGAGCCUUGGAGUAUGAAGACAGAUGACACUGAGAAUAUCCCUCAAGGUAUGGAGCCCCAGUUGGUUUGUAAAACAAGGAAUAAAAUACAAAGUAUUAUAAUGAAAAUGUAUCUUAUUACUUAUAAAUUAUAAUGCAGUUGUGCCUCACAGAAGAAUCAAAUGCAAUAAUGCCCAUAAUGGGCUUACACAAGGCAGGAUAACUCAUUUGUGCACAAGUAGGCAUUAAUUACCAUCAUUAUAGCUCCUUCCUGGAAGGGACAGGAAGUUCAUGUUCUAUUGGUGAUCAAGGGUCUGGUAUUCUCUUUGGCCCCAGGAAUGCUUUCUGUGGACAAGGAACCUCAGGCUGAGAGCACUUCAUUUUAGUUGUCCUUCAUUUUAGUUGUCUCUGCAAAGUUUUCACCUGGAACUAGCAAGAGGACAUUUGUAAGAUGCCCAAAUGCUAAGAAGUGGAAACUAGGAAAGCAUUGUCUAUUCUUGGACAGCACAGGUGCUGCUGGUGGUAUUUGGAUGCCCUUAGCCCCUUCUGACCUUUAAAGACAUCAUGACCUAGACUACUGGAUCAGAAGAGCUCUCAAGAUCAUCAUGCAAGCCUCUCAUUUGAGGAAGAUAGAAAGACAAGUUCAAGAAGAGCCUGACUUUGCAUAGAUCAAAUGAUGGGCUGGCCUCUUUCUUCCCAUUUUUAUCGAAGGCAUCCCAUUGCUGGCUGACUUCACUCAUAAAGCUGCACUGAAGAAACUCUCUGCACUGGACAUGUGACAGCCUCUCUCUUGGGAUUUGUGCUUCCUCUUGCUGUGGACUAGAAGAUGAAUGCUUCAAUAUUUCAAGGAAGAUCAUGCUGGGUUGGCUCUGUCCUACUCAGGGUUCCCCUCUCCUGUAUUACUUUGUUCUAAAUUGUGUCUUCGAAAACAUAUUGGAGUCCUUAUCCCACAUACCUCAAAAUGUACUCUUAUUUGGAAGUAGUGUCAUUGUCGAUGGGAUUAGUUAAAAGAGGAGGUUAUACUGGAGUGGAGUGAGUCUUUAUCCAGUAUGACUUUAUCCAAUAUGAUUCCUUAUACAAAGAGGAUAUGAAGACACAGCCACACCAGAAGAAGGCCAGACAGAGGCAGAGAUCGGAGGGCUGUAGCUGCUUGCCAAAGGAUGCCAAGGAUUGAUGGCCUCCACCAUCGAUAGAAGCUAGCAAGAGGCAAGGAAGGAUUCUCUCCUACAGAUUUCACUGGGAAUAUGGUGUUGUUCACUCCUGGACAUCAGACUUCCUGCCCCUACAUCUGUAGGACAAUACAUGUCUGUGUCUGAAGCCACCUGGUUUAUGGUAUGUGGUUAUGGCAGCCCUAGAAAUAAGCAGAUAUUUCAUCUCUGUCUUAGAAGUGAAGAAACUGGGGUUUCCCAAGCAUUUUCAUUUCUACAGAACCAACAGCUUCAUAUAGGACUCGACAAGAGUGGAGAGUUUAUCAGAGAGUGGAGAGUUUACCAGAGGAAUGACCCAGCCAAUGGCUGGUGUGACACCUUAAGGUCAGGUGGUGAGUUGGGGGCAGUAUCAACUCUGGAUACUCUCUCUGCAUGUCAAGCCAGCUGUUCGCUGCACUAGGACA
Molecule: long non-coding RNA, 2167 nt
Organism: Heterocephalus glaber (naked mole-rat)
Lineage: Eukaryota; Metazoa; Chordata; Mammalia; Rodentia; Bathyergidae
Source: Ensembl